CAAGUCUCUUCUCUACAAACUCAAAGUGGUUUUUGUGGAAACACCACGGAUCCUCGUAAUGAAAGUUGUAAUUCCAUUAAUUUGAGGAGUAGAGAAGUUUCAUCACCAGAAGGAUGAGAGUAAAAAUGGUGUAGUUGAAAAGAUGAGGGAUGGUGUAGUUGUAAAUAGAAGAGAAAAUAAGAAAGAAGAAAAAAAUAAGGAAGAAAAAGCUUAUGAGGGUGAAGUUGAAAAGAGAGUGGAGAAUGAGUCUAGUGCCAAGAAAGGCAAGAAACCUCUUGUGAAGGACCCCAAGUUUCAAGUUCCUUCACCAUAUGCUAGAGUGCCUUAUCCUAGGAUGAAGAAGGUCAAGAACCAAGACCUUGAAUUUUGUGGAGAGGUAUCCGAA
This 385-nucleotide long non-coding RNA is filed under the name Trifolium pratense (red clover). Its description in RNAcentral is "long non-coding RNA (TPRA_LNC005652)". Lineage: Eukaryota; Viridiplantae; Streptophyta; Magnoliopsida; Fabales; Fabaceae. The record is from RNAcentral.